CUGCUAUGAAGUUGCCUUCAAUGUUCUGGUGUUCCGGGAUCCGUUUUAGAUUAAUAACAGACUGCUCUGCCAUCUCAAUUAGAGAUUUGCGGCAAUUUGCCACUUUGGUCGAGCUCGAAGAAAUCGCGUUUAGUGAUUUAAGUCCCGCUUGGCUGUCACUGUAAAUAUUCAAGCAAGUAGCUCCCUGAAGUAGCUCCAUGAAGACAAGAGGGAGGCAAAAUGAGUGCCUUAUAUUUAGUUGCGUCUGAAAGCAUCUGACGGUUGAUGGUUGCCCUCAGUUGUAGCCCGACUAUUCUCUCAAAGGUUUUGAGGAGAAACGGGGAUAGACUAAUUGGUCUGAAAUCCUUUGAAGGUAAAUAUUUCCCGCGUUCGGGAUGAAGAUAAUUUUGGCCUUGAGCCUUGCUUAAGGAAUUGUCCCCACUAUCAAUAUCUUCUUGAAGUUGGGCUGGGAUGACCUUGUCAUCGGCUGUAGCGGCUGUUCACCGCCCAGCAGACGAUCCGCUUUAUUAGGAGGUGUGCCACCGAGG
Molecule: long non-coding RNA, 527 nt
Filed under: Drosophila guanche
Lineage: Eukaryota; Metazoa; Arthropoda; Insecta; Diptera; Drosophilidae
Source: RNAcentral